CUUAAAAUCACGCCAUCCUGAGCAAACCCAACCUCGGAAGCUAAGCAGGGUCAGGCCUGAUUAGUACUUGGCAGGAUGGCAGACCACCCGGGAAUACCAAAUGCUGUUAGGG
RNAcentral lists this ribosomal RNA (112 nucleotides) under Amphilophus citrinellus (Midas cichlid). Lineage: Eukaryota; Metazoa; Chordata; Actinopteri; Cichliformes; Cichlidae. The record is from RNAcentral.